AAAACUUCCUCCAUUUUUCAAGAAAAUCAGCUUGACUAGUUGUGGAAUUUGAAAGUUUAGAUAUUGGUGUGGGAGGAGUACUAGUUGAGGGUACUGAUGAAUUUGUGUUGAAAUUACUGAAGGCUUCGCGAAAAGAUUCAAUCUUUGAUCUAUCAAGAUAUCGAGGCAUGAUAUAUCCAUCAGAGAAAAUUUCAUCAGCUCAAACAGAUUCUGAAACAGGAUGAACAUCAAAGUUGAAGUUUUGUUCUUCUUUUAGGGAUCUUUUCAAAUAAGUGAUAAAUUUUAACUCUUCCUCAGCAUCAUCAUGACUACUAUAAGAGGGUCUAGGGGAUUCUGUUAGGCCAUCAAUGGAUGGUUAUCUGUUCAACAACCAGCUAUAUGAAAAAACAUGAAAAACUCUCUGUGGCAACAGGUUGUUGGGAAUUUUCCAUAGUGAACAGUAUACUACAAUACACCCUCUUUACUUCACCUGAGGUAGUGGUAUGAUCUGUGUACACUUUAUUUUUCCCAGAUCCCACUAUAUGGUAAUACACUGGGUAUGUUGUUGUUGUUGUUGCUGAAUAGUAUACUAUAAUAUGGGAAGAAAGGAAAAGAAAAAUGAGAUGCUUAUAUAAAGAAUUUACAGGUUACCGCUACAAAAGAUUAAAACACACUUGUUGUAAAAAAAAAAAAUUUAAGUUGUCAACGUAUAUAAGUUAAAUCUCCAUAAAAAUAAAUGUUUGGCUGAGAAUAGAGGGACUCACGUGAGCUUAUUAUACAGAGUGUGUAAAUUGUAAGUUGUCUCAUCAUUCUUUGAGGAGGAGUUGUUUAUAUAGCAAAAUAUCACAAAAAUAAAAGGAAGAAAAAUAUUUGAUAAUUCAAUCAAGGAGAUUAUUCAAUGAGGUAAAUCACUUAACUCCACCAAUCAUGCUAUGGUUGCCACAAAUAAACAAAUAAGAAUCUGUCUAAAUCUUAAUAUUGAAAUCUUCCAUAAACGAAAUAAGGAAAAAAAAUUCUCCCUACUUAUCAAUAGGGUUAUGGCUGUUGUCAAUAGAUUAGGGUUUAAAAGGAAAGAAUAGGAUCUUGAUCUCAGCCGUCAGAUUAGUUACAAUCCAUGGUUGAGAUCUCAAGUUUAGAAUUUGACCAUAAAAAUUGAAUAAAACUUUAGAUUGAGCCAUAAUUGGCUAUAAUUGUAAUAAAUUAAAUAUAACUAGGCUAAAAUUGUUAUGACUUGAAUAAAAAUUGGGCUGAAAAAUAAAAAAAUUAGGCAAAAU
RNAcentral lists this long non-coding RNA (1253 nucleotides) under Capsicum annuum. Its description in RNAcentral is "long non-coding RNA (CANN_LNC018245)". The record is from RNAcentral. Lineage: Eukaryota; Viridiplantae; Streptophyta; Magnoliopsida; Solanales; Solanaceae.